RNAcentral lists this ribosomal RNA (390 nucleotides) under Winnertzia globifera. RNAcentral describes it as "partial 12S ribosomal RNA". Lineage: Eukaryota; Metazoa; Arthropoda; Insecta; Diptera; Cecidomyiidae. The record is from RNAcentral.
UAUUAUUUUUUUAAUAAAAAAUUAAUUCUAAAUUAAUAAAUUUAAAUUUAAUAAAAAGAAAAAAAUUGGCAGUGUUUUUAUUAAUUAGAGGAAUUUGUUCUUUAAUUGAUAAACCACAAUAAAUUAAACUUAUUUUAAAAAUUUGUAUAUCGUUAUUAUUAAUAAUUUUUAAAGAAAAUUAUUUAAAUAAAUAAUUUUCUUGAAAUAUUAAAUCAAGAUACAGUAAAUAAAUAAGGGUGAAAUGAAUUACAUUAAUAUAAUAUUUUCGGAAAAUUAUUUGUAAUAAUAUUAUAAAGGAGGAUUUAAUAGUAAUUAUUUAAAAAUUUAAUUAAUGAAAAUUUUUAAAAAUAUGUACAUAUUGUCCGUCACUUUUAAAAAUUAUUAAAAUAA